Molecule: ribosomal RNA, 498 nt
Filed under: uncultured cyanobacterium
Lineage: Bacteria; Bacillati; Cyanobacteriota
Description: bacterial SSU rRNA
Rfam family: Bacterial small subunit ribosomal RNA
Source: RNAcentral
UGGAUGCCUAAAAUCAAGUCGUACGAGAGUUUUUAACUCUAGUGGCGGACGGGUGAGUAACACGUGAGAAUUUACCUUUAGGAGGGGGAUAACAAUUGGAAACGAAUGCUAAUACCCCAUAUGCUUUCGAGUGAAAUGGAUUUAUAUUUAUUCGCCUAAAGAGAAGCUCGCGGCUGAUUAGCUUGUUGGUAAGGUAAGAGCUUACCAAGGCGACGAUCAGUAUCUGGUUUGAGAGGACGAUCAGACACACUGGAACUGGGACACGGUCCAGACUCCUACGGGAGGCAGCAGUGGGGAAUUUUCCGCAAUGGGCGAAAGCCUGACGGAGCAAUACCGCGUGAGGGAAGACUGCCUAUGGGUUGUAAACCUCUUUUUUCAGGGAGGAAUAAAUGACGUGUACCUGAAGAAUAAGCAUCGGCUAACUCCGUGCCAGCAGCCGCGGUAAGACGGAGGAUGCAAGUGUUAUCCGGAAUCACUGGGCGUAAAGCGUCUGUAGGU